AGAGAGAGAGAGAGAGAGAGAGAGAGAUAGAGAGAGAGAGUUUUACAAAAGAAGGUUCCAAAUUCACAAAGCUCUCUCGGUCUUAAAGAUGCAAGGCAUGUGUAUUUUCUUCAUAUUAUUCACCACAUACAGCACAACUACAUCACAUACACGUGACUCGCUGAGACUACUGAUACAAGUCUUGCUACGAUAUCAUACGAGUGUCAUUAACAUCAUCCCGAAAUACCAGACCAGAUCUGCAACAAACAACGGUUCAUCUUUCUCACGUCAUUCCUGUUUGGAUGCUCUAAACCCCCCCCCCCCAAAAAAAAAAAAACAAAAAAAAACAAACAACAAAAC
Long non-coding RNA from Aplysia californica (California sea hare), 339 nucleotides. RefSeq lists it as uncharacterized. The transcript has 2 exons. The record is from RefSeq and is a predicted model, not a curated record. Lineage: Eukaryota; Metazoa; Mollusca; Gastropoda; Aplysiida; Aplysiidae.